Long non-coding RNA from Alligator mississippiensis (American alligator), 4676 nucleotides. RefSeq lists it as uncharacterized. Lineage: Eukaryota; Metazoa; Chordata; Crocodylia; Alligatoridae. The record is from RefSeq and is a predicted model, not a curated record. The transcript is spliced from 3 exons.
ACACCACUGGGGAUAGGUGGCUGGGGUUAUAAGGUGUCCCAACCCACCUUUCACUGGGGAGGUAACUGGCCUGGCAUUUCCUGGGGGCUCCAAUUCCACUAGAAGCCCAACCAGACCGCCCUUCCCCAGCAGAGUGCAGUUUUACAUCUUCCCCAGGACAAGGGGUCACCUCCUCCCCAUAGCCUGUGCCCUUACCUCCUGACUCUAGCUGGAGCAGCCCCUCAGCCUGAUGGUUCCUCCUUCCUUUCUACAGCAAACUGCAGCCCAGCUUAUAUCCCUGGGCCAAAAUGGCUGCCCUCGUCAGGCACCUGGCUGCUGCCUGUUUGCUGCUCUUAAAGUAGCAGGCACCAAAGGUGCCCUGCCACAAUCAGUUUUAAUAUUUUUAGGUAUGCAAUUAUUUUUUUGUUACUGUGUGGCAGUACAGUAUUUCCAGAUGCAUGUGAACAGUGAAGUGAGAAAAGUAAUCUGACAUUCAGAACUCAUCAGUGGGGCAAUAUAUUAUCUUUUUUGAUAAUUGUGUUUUCUGUUCUUAUAUUCCUCUUCCUCUCCAUAUUUCUGUCUCUUGUCCUCCUUCCCUUUCUGUAUUUCUUCCUUCCCUUGUUCAUCAACCUAUCUGCUUAAAUGCAGAGUUAAUGUAAGCAUAUAAAAUGCCAUCUUGGGUUUUAUAGUUUUUAUUUCAAGAAGGAUGAAACUUCACUCAUCUUAGAGUCACAGUUUCAGCCUCUCUCUUGGAAGUCUUAAUGAUCCUGCACCAUUUUAUAUUUGAUUCAUAUUGGGAAAUUUAUCUUUUCAAGUACAAAGGUUAGAAACUUGACUUUUUUUAAAGCAUCUGCAAAAUUGUAUUUGGUCAUGCACACCACUUUUGUAGGUGGAUAAUUUAGCUUUCCUUAUUAGUUCAUACAAGUUCUCACUGUUUUAGGUUCAACUGCAAUUUCAGUAACAACUUCUUUGCACCAUCUUCUAGAACAUAAGGGAAGAAAUGAAAUAUGGGUAACUUUCUUUUAAAAACAUCUACUCCAAUGUUUUAAAUGUUUCUGAGCACCUAGGAAUUGAACUGGGAUUGAAAGACAAGGAGUUAGGAUCUUAAAUUGCUUCUGAAAAUGAAACAUUGGGUGCAUCUACAUGUUGCCCCAUGGUGAUGUUGUUAUUGUGUCAUGUGCAUGGUGCACUUAGUUUUUGCUGCUACUUCAUCAUCAGUUGGGUGCAGUAGGAGGGAGAGGAGGCUGACUGGGCACAUGUGCGGGCUCUCAGCACAUGUGUGCCCCCUGCAACAUACCUGAGGCAGCAGAGGCUGAGAAGCAACAGCGGGGGCAGCAGCAGCUGACCCCCUGAAGGUAAGUGGGGCAGGAGCCGGUGCAGCUGCAGAGGAUCCAGAGGGGAAGCCCCUGGAUUCCUCUUCGCUGAGCCGGGCAUGGAGCAGUGUGCAAACAGAGCGCGCAAACAGGCACGCUCUGUAAGGGUGCUCCUGCAUUUACGCAAGGUGGGCACACAAAGAAUAAGCGACAAGAAGGAACACCUAGCAAGAGCAAUGAUUACUUGAAGCUCAGCAGCUAAGGUAAGAGCAGCUAAGGUAAGCGCACGGGAUGCAGCUGCAGCUCAGAUGGUGCUGCCCACCUGUGGUUCCUCUGAGGUGUCCACUCAGAUGGACCCCUGCACCCCUGUCUGCAGGGGUGGCCUGGCAGUGACCCUGCCAUCGGGGGAGGGGGGGAGCCCCCUUACCUGUCCCUCAUGUGCCUACAUUUGAGCCUUGGAGGAGCAGGUGAGGGAACUCCAGGUGGCAGUGAGCAGGCUAAGGGGGAUCAGGGAUGAUGAGGCUGUGAUUGAUGGGUAUUUCCAUUCCUUACAGCUCCAGAUGCCCACGGGUGAAACUCCAUGCGAGGAGUCUGCAGCUGGGGAGUGGAGGACAGUCACCUCUGGAUCCAGGUGGAGGGGCCUGGUGUUUGCUUCCCCAUUGCAUGUGGGGAAAGGAUACGGGGCCCUGACAACCAUGGAGGAGACAGAGAAGGAGCAUUUUCCUGCAGAUGAGGUGAUCCCUGUAGCCCCUACUGGGCAGGCUGGGGGAUCACUGCCCAGGCAGAAAAAGAAACACCGAGUGAUUGUGGUGGGCAACUCGAUCCUGAGAGGCAUGGAGAGGCCGAUCUGUCGACCGGAUCCUAUGGUGAGAGAAGUCUCCUGCAUGUCUGGAGCUAAGAUCAGGGACAUCACUGAGGCGAUUCCUGCUCUUAUUAAGCCCUCUGACGACUACCCCAUGGUCCUCGUCCACGUGGGAACCAACGAUGCAGCUAGGACCAGCCCUGACCACAUCAUGAAGGACUUCCAUGAACUGGGAGACAGCCUCAGGAAGACUGGAGCACAGGUUGUAUUUUCUUCCAUCCUUCCACUUGGCAGCAGCCAGAGACGCCAGGGUGCCCGCAUCAAGGAAGUCAACCGGUGGCUCCAGAGUUGGUGUCUUCAGGAGAGCUUUGGAUUCUACAGCCAUGACCAGCACUUCCAGGGAGGAGGCUUCCUGGGAGAUGAUGAUCUUCAUCUCUCUCCCAGAGCUCCAGCAACGGCUGUGGACAGCGUGAGGACCAGGUGCCACCGGCUCUUUUCGUUGGAGGUCUGACCGUCUCCUGGUUGUUUGACAGAGCCGUGGAGGGGCACAACGGCGCAACGCUCGGAGGAACAACUUAAUCCGACGGGACGAGGGAUGUCUCAAUGGACUGGUAUGUCCAAGAGCGACUUCCACUGCCUUUAGAUACUGCAGUCCACAAGUUCCAAAUUGGAGACGAGGUUUUGGUCCGAACGUGGAAAGACAAGCCUCUUCAACCCAAGUGGAAGGGAUCGUAUCCCGUGGUCCUCACCACUCAUACGGCAGUGAAGGUCCAAGGGGUAAAGCUGUGGAUCCACUAUACCAGGGUAAAGGCUGCACCGGAAGUUUCUUUUGAGGGAGCAGUUGCUGAGAGUGUCGCACCGGAAGCUGACACAAACGGACAUCGUUGGAUAGCAGAGCCUGUGGAAGGACUUAGAUUCUUGUUUAAACGUCGGCCAUGUGGAAAGUAGUUCUUUACCUAGGGUUUCUAGGGUUGGAGGGAUUGUUACAUCGAAAGUUUGAGAAAAACCAAAAUGUGUGGAUUUACUUGGCAAAAGAGGUGGUGAACACAACUCAUUUCUGUUUGGCUGGUGGAACGUCAGUUCAAGAUGUGUUUACCUCAUGCCUCGUAGGGGUGCCCACUCCAUUAGAAACACUCCAAAGUCAGAUUUGGCUAAAAAACUUCGACCUUUCAGGGUUUAAUCUCUGGAAUACAGCCUAUGAGUGGGGACCCAUUACUCAGAAGAGAAACGUUAGUACCUUUUCGAUAGAUUUGCUAACCGUGACCUCACCUAGUAACACCAGUUGUGCUCGAUUUGUAAAUUGUACCAAAGUUUGUGAAAACCUAACCCGAGAGGAAGGGACUUUUAAUUGUUCAAACAAAACCAAUGUGUCUUAUGGUACUGGUAAUGUCAUACUACCCUCAGGAUGGUUCCUCCUUUGUGGGAAAACUGCUCAUUUGUACAUCCCAGCUAAUGCAACAGGGGGACCCUGUACUCUUGGCAGGUUAACUGUCUGGUUACCAAAGAUGUCUAAAACCUCCGACAGGUGCCACUGAAGUUCUAGCCAGCUAGACGAGUCCUGUGAUAGUAACAUAAACCUCCUCAGUAAGGCCGAGGCAGUGUCUUUAUCAGUCUCUAUAGUAGGUUUACCAGCCCUGGCGGUAGGCAACCAUGGUCAGAUAAGUAAAGUGGCCUGCGCCUUAGCAAAGAGCCUGAACAUGACCUCACAGGCCCUAGCGGCCCUCAGCACCGAGAUGAAAGAACUGCGGGGGGCUACGCUGCAGAAUAGGGCAGCCAUAGACUACCUGUUACUGAGACAUAACCAUGGGUGUAAAGAGUUCGAUGGAAUGUGUUGUUUCAAUUUGACAGAUAAUUAUGAGCUAAUAGAGUCAAAGGUACAGAAGUUGCAGGAUGUUCUGUCACAUAUUAAGCAAGAUGAUGGAUUUGAUUUUUCAUGGCUUACUUCUUGGCUUCCUAAUUUUUCAUGGCUAAAGCAGAUGUUCCUUUUAAUUGUAGCAGGUAUAUGUAUUUUCCUAAUGAUUUGUUGUGGAGUGCAAUGUGUACCUAUGUGCUGUGACUCACUCAAGAAGUUGAUACCUACCCCUGUCAACCGAGUGACGUUCAUGAAACCUUCAGUCAUGGAUCCAAUCCAGAAGAAUCGAGAAGAUACAAAACGUUUUUUGAGGCUAAAAGGAAUGGUCGAGGACUAUGGUCCCAUUUCAUAGGGUCAUAGCCUCGAAGUGGGGAUUUGAUGUAGUCUUUUUUAUGGUGUAUCUAGCUUUUGCAAAUUAUAUCUAACUGAAUACUUAAGGCAGCUUGCUGGUGCUGGGAGGGGUGUGGUAUAUGUAUGUUAAAGAAUGAUUGUCUGCUGGAAAAGAAAUGCCACAUAGGCAAGCCCAGACAAGUACGGACAUGUUCUGUGGCUAAGGUAAUAUGAGCAUGGGCUAAGAGAAGGCAGCCAGUAGUAACGGUACAGCGUGUUAAGUGGGAGAAAGCUAUAUAAGGCUGAAGCAAGCCAAAGGGGGUGGUGCUUGCUUUGCGAACGAUCGCCAAGCACCCCUCUCUGUGCAGACUUGAAAUAAUAAAGAUUAAGUUGGAUCCUC